UGCCAGCAGCCGCGGUAAGACAGAGGGUGCAAGCGUUAAUCGGAAUGACUGGGCGUAAAGGGCACGUAGGUGGAUGUAGUCGUUAUGUGUUAAAGACUCGGGCUUAACCUGGGGAUUGCAUGUAAUACUAUACAUCUAGAGUACAGUAGAGGAAAGUAGAAUUCCCGGUGUAGCGGUGAAAUGCGUAGAUAUCGGGAGGAAUACCAGUGGCGAAGGCGGCUUUCUGGACCGAUACUGACGCUGAGACGCGAAAGCGUGGGGAGCAAACAGGAUUAGAUA
Molecule: ribosomal RNA, 279 nt
Filed under: uncultured bacterium
Lineage: Bacteria
Description: partial 16S ribosomal RNA
Rfam family: Bacterial small subunit ribosomal RNA
Source: RNAcentral